Molecule: ribosomal RNA, 253 nt
Filed under: uncultured bacterium
Lineage: Bacteria
Description: partial 16S ribosomal RNA
Rfam family: Bacterial small subunit ribosomal RNA
Source: RNAcentral
UACGAACCGUACGAACGUUAUUCGGAUUCACUGGGCUUAAAGCGUGCGUAGGCGGCUGGGAAAGUUGGGUGUGAAAUCCCUCGGCUCAACCGAGGAAUUGCGCCCAAAACUACCUGGCUUGAGGAAGAUAGAGGUAAGCGGAACUAAUGGUGGAGCGGUGAAAUGCGUUGAUAUCAUUAGGAACACCUGUGGCGAAAGCAGCUUACUGGGUCUUAUCUGACGCUGAGGCACGAAAGCUAGGGGAGCGAACGGG